GCGCUUUCAGUCCACCGCUUCCUCGACCACAAGUGCAGCCAAUAUGGUGCCAACAAGCCAGUGUUUUGUGUUUGUGGUCAUUGGGGCUCUGUUCAAAGUGGGACUCAUGACUAAAGACAGUUCUAUUCCUGUCACUGAGAUUCCAGGCCGAAGACAACACCCUUAGAACACAGCGGUAUGUGGAAGAUAUUCUAGACUCAUUUUGUUGACCUUCAUGGCAAGCCAUCCAGAGCUUACAUUUCAGCAAGACAGUGGCUGCCCAUAUAGGGAAAGAGUUUUUAUGCUCGUGUUCCUGCUUGCCAAACCCUACCUCAGCCAGAAAGGUCACCGGAUGUCUGCACAAUUGUGAAUGUUUGGAGUACUGUGGGCAGGGCCUCCGACCAGCUCAGGGUUUUGGUGAUAUAACGUGCCUGUUGGCAAAAUUUGGCACAUACGUAUUUUAUAUAGACAAGGACGUACACAGGUUAUGAAAAACACAAGUGAGUAAAGUGGUAUUUUGCCUGGUUGAGGAGCGUCAGGCAGCAGUGCAGACACAAAGUGGAGGAAUUUAUCUAAUGCCAGUCCAAAGUAUUAUGCUGAGUGCAAUUGUUAUCUCAAGGAGCCUCACUGCCAUGACAUACCCAAGAGGACACAAAUCACUGUCGUCGCCAAGUGGGUCUUCUUGAAGCUCAUAUCCCUAAGAGCUUUGGCUGUGUGUGGUGACCAGAUACUGUGCCAGUUGACAGCGACCAAUGUCACGCCGAUCUGCUGGGCAGCGGUGAAGGUGGAUCUCAGCCACAUGAUAUAACUGCUUGCAUAAGAGCCAGAGGUGGACUAACAUGUUAUUUGACUUGCUCAAUUUGUGAAGCUCUUUCUCUCAAAUAAAGCACUGAAUUUUUCUGAAAUUGUAA
This is a long non-coding RNA of Schistocerca americana (American grasshopper), 890 nucleotides long. RefSeq lists it as uncharacterized. The record is from RefSeq and is a predicted model, not a curated record. The transcript has 2 exons. NCBI's taxonomy places the organism in Eukaryota, Metazoa, Arthropoda, Insecta, Orthoptera, Acrididae.